GGUAACGCUAGCGGCAGGCUAAUACACUGCAGUUCGCAAACGGUGCCUUCGGGCAUAGUCGGCGCACGGUGUGCGUAACACGUAUGCAACCUCACCUUACAUUGGGGGAUAGCCUUUCGAAAGGGAGAUUAAUACCGCAUAAUACAAUGAGAUUGGCAUCAGCUUAUUGUUAAAAGAUUUAUCGAUGUAAGAUGGGCAUGCGUCCAAUUAAGUUAGUUGGCGAGGUAACGGCUCACCAAGACGAUGAUUGGUAGGGGAACUGAGAAGGUCAAUACCCCCACACUGGCACUGAGAAUACGGGCCAGACUCCUACGGGAGGCAGCAGUAGGGAAUAUUGGGCAAUGGACGCAAGUCUGACCCAGCCAUGCCGCGUGCAGGAAGACGGCCCUCUGGGUUGUAAACUGCUUUUAUAUAGGAAGAAAGAAUCCUUGCGAGGAUAGUUGACGGUACUAUAAGAAUAAGCACCGGCUAACUCCGUGCCAGCAGCCGCGGUAAUACGGAGGGUGCAAGCGUUGUCCGGAUUUAUUUGGGUUUAAAGGGUGCGCAGGUGGUUUAUUAAGUCAGUGGUGAAAGACGAGUCGCAUUAACGAUUGCAGUGCCAGUUAGAUACUCGGUAGACUUGGAGGUCGAAUUUAGAGAGUAGGCGGAAUUAGAUCAGUGUAGCGGUGAAAUGCAUCAGAUAUCUAUCAAGAACUCCAAUUGCGAAGGCAGCCUUACUAUUAAAUUUAACUUGGACAUUCCAUGCCGAAAUGUGGGGUCUCCACACCGGACAUUACAUUACCCGGGUAGCCCACCACUGGUCAACG
Molecule: ribosomal RNA, 806 nt
Filed under: uncultured Bacteroidota bacterium
Lineage: Bacteria; Pseudomonadati; Bacteroidota
Description: bacterial SSU rRNA
Rfam family: Bacterial small subunit ribosomal RNA
Source: RNAcentral